Molecule: non-coding RNA, 73 nt
Organism: Stegodyphus mimosarum
Lineage: Eukaryota; Metazoa; Arthropoda; Arachnida; Araneae; Eresidae
Source: Rfam
GCUUUCGUGGUGUAGUGGUCAGCACGCUCGGCGUGUAUUCGAGAAGUCCGUUGUUCGAAUCCCAGCGAAGGCC